AACAACCGAUGCACUAGCGCAGCGCAGUGCCUGCCUGAUUAGCCCUUCUGCCGCUUUCUAGAGGCCUGGAGUGUUUUGUUCAAGAGCUACAUCAUUUAGCCUUGAGGGAAUACUUUUAACUGAGGACCAACUUCAUGCUGACCAAAUAUUUGAGGAGGAGAGCAAUAAACCCAGACCACCAAAAGAAGUCACCAUCUUUCUAUUUAAUCUGAUCAUCUUGGUCCACAAGAAGUCUAAAAAAUGGAGCAAACCAAAAGAACAGAUGGACAAAAAUGCUAUGCUGAUGGUCUCCAUUUGUCCCAAGAGGAGCUCUGAAGGGACUGAAGAGUUCACAAAGAGGCUGGUGGACAGGAAGACUCGUGACAGUGUCUGUCUCGAAACCCUUAUGAUCAUUCAUGUCUGUAGUGCGUGAGUUGGAUAUUUAUGGGCCUUUCCAGCUGAUAAGAAAUCAAUGAAAUGUUUUAUGGACCCUAUUCCACUUCCUUAUUAUUCUUUUGUUUUGUCUUCAAUUGGGAUUAUUUUAUUUCAACUUAUUGGUCCAUAGUACGAGCUAUCUUGACCUCUGGCUUAGAAAGGGCAGCAUAUUGAGCAAGAGUAUACAA
RNAcentral lists this long non-coding RNA (602 nucleotides) under Vombatus ursinus (common wombat). Its description in RNAcentral is "lncRNA (ENSVURG00010018507.1)". The record is from RNAcentral. Lineage: Eukaryota; Metazoa; Chordata; Mammalia; Diprotodontia; Vombatidae.